Molecule: transfer RNA, 86 nt
Filed under: Desulfobacteraceae bacterium
Lineage: Bacteria; Pseudomonadati; Thermodesulfobacteriota; Desulfobacteria; Desulfobacterales; Desulfobacteraceae
Also listed under: 1 other name
Description: tRNA-Leu
Rfam family: tRNA
About the family: Transfer RNA (tRNA) molecules are approximately 80 nucleotides in length.
Source: RNAcentral
GCCGGGGUGGCGGAAUUGGCAGACGCAAGGGACUUAAAAUCCCUCGGGGUGAAAGCCCUGUACGGGUUCGAUUCCCGUCCCCGGCA